Pezoporus flaviventris is the source of this 268-nucleotide long non-coding RNA. RefSeq lists it as uncharacterized. Lineage: Eukaryota; Metazoa; Chordata; Aves; Psittaciformes; Psittacidae. The record is from RefSeq and is a predicted model, not a curated record. The transcript has 3 exons.
CCUAGACAUGUGCCUAGCACCUCCCAACGCCCCCAGCAAGGUGUUGCCAGUGCCACCAGCUGCCCCUACCCAUUACAUCCUCUUUGCAACGGUGCAGCUCAGCCUCCCCAGCUCAGUGCCAGCAGUGCCCAAGGGUGGGUGCGUAGGCAGGACUCUGCCGAGGUGACAGUCAGAUCGGUGGCUGAGCACUGAGGGUGCCCAUCGUGCCAUCGCGUGGCGAGUGCAGGGCAGGCUCUGCAGCUCCAUCAAGAGCUCAGCUUAGGAAGAG